RNAcentral lists this long non-coding RNA (814 nucleotides) under Mytilus galloprovincialis (Mediterranean mussel). Lineage: Eukaryota; Metazoa; Mollusca; Bivalvia; Mytilida; Mytilidae. The record is from RNAcentral.
GCCAAUACCAUUUAGCAUUUUUAUAUGUAAAUCACAUUUAUAUGAACUGGUGCUGAUCAUGAUGAUAGUUAUUGGCAUAUCACAUAGAAAUAAACAUUAGAACGAUAUUUAAUAUAUUUGAUAAUCUGGAGCAAUCAUACCUACAUAAAAAAAUAAGGGUAUGUGGUACGGUUGCCAAUAUGACUCCUAUCCACCAGAGUUAAAAAAAAUAGAGACCGUUCUCUUUCAAGAAAGAAAACUUGAAAACAGCUUUUGAAAUAGUAUGACAUACACAACCAGUACGUGAAAGAUUCUGCAUAGGACGAGCAUCAAACCCUUCAAUUAAGAAAACAUAAGGAGAUGUCAUAAUUUAAAAAACUAGGAGAUGUGAUAUGAUUGCCAAUGAGACAACUAUCUACCAAAGUUCAAACAAAGCAGAUGUAGGCAAUAAUAGGCUACGGUACCAUCUUCAAUAAUGAAAAACACACAUACCAUAAAAGAUACCGACAUGAAAAAUUAAUUCAAAUGAAAAAAAAACUGGGCUAAUUUAUAUCAAAACAAUUCACGAAAAACAACUAUGACAGUGAGUAACCAACGACAAAUGAUUACUAAUGUCUGUUAAAUCUAUAUUUCGAGUUUAAAUAUAGAAAAUAAAAUACAGUAAAGGUUAUAUAAGUUUAUAACUAUCAUACUAUGUAAAAGAAUGACGAAAAGGUAUUUAACAUAACUAAAACUGUUGCAAUUCGGUUAACGAGUACAAUACACAAAACAAAGCACUCAAUAAGAUUCAAUGUUUGCUUUAAAAAAUACACGUCAGUACAUAAAAUAAACCCGC